RNAcentral lists this ribosomal RNA (1010 nucleotides) under uncultured Planctomycetota bacterium. RNAcentral describes it as "bacterial SSU rRNA". It matches the Rfam family "Bacterial small subunit ribosomal RNA", at positions 509 to 1504 of the family's 1533-position model. Lineage: Bacteria; Pseudomonadati; Planctomycetota. The record is from RNAcentral.
CAGCCGCCGCCGUAAUACGAAGGUGGCGGGCGUUGUUCGGAAUUAUUGGGCUUAAAGAGCACGUAGGCGGAUCAGAAAGUGUCUUGUGAAAACCCCCGGCUUAACCGGGGAAUUGCUUGGCAAACUUCUAGAUCUUGAGUCAAGUAGGGGUACAUGGAACUCUUAGUGGAGCGGUGGAAUGCGUAGAUAUUAACAGGAACGCCAAUGGUGAAGACAGUGUACUGGGCUUGUACUGACGCUGAAGUGCGAAAGCGUGGGGAGCGAACGGGAUUAGAUACCCCGGUAGUCCACGCCGUAAACGAUGUCUACUAGGUUGUGGGUGUUCUGACACAGUCACAGCCGAAGCAAAAGUGUUAAGUAGACCGCCUGGGGAGUACGGUCGCAAGGCUAAAACUCAAAGGAAUUGACGGGGGCUCACACAAGCGGUGGAGCAUGUGGAUUAAUUCGAAGCAACGCGCAGAACCUUACCUGGGUUUGACAUGUUUUGAUGCCUAUCUGGAAACAGGAGUCGGCUGCCUUAGGGUGAAACUUACACAGGUGCUGCAUGGCUGUCGUCAGCUCGUGUCGUGAGAUGUCGGGUUAAGUCCUUUAACGAGCGAAACCCUUACCGUUAGUUGCCAGCGCGUCAUGGCGGGGACUCUAGCGGGACUGCCGGUGUCAAACCGGAGGAAGGCGGGGAUGACGUCAAGUCCUCAUGGCCUUUAUGCCCAGGGCUUCACACGUGCUACAAUGGUUACUACAAAGCGACGCAAGACCGCGAGGUGGAGCAAAUCGCAAAAAAGUAGCCCCAGUUCGGAUUGUAGGCUGACAACUCGCCUACAUGAAGUUGGAAUCGCUAGUAAUCGCGUAUCAGCUACGACGCGGUGAAUGUGUUCCUGAGCCUUGUACACACCGCCCGUCAAGUGAUGGAAGUCGGGAGCACCCGAAGUCGGAUUGCUAACCAGUUUACUGGAGGCGUCUGCCGACGGUGAGUUCGAUGACUGGCACUAAGUCGUAACAAGGUAACCGUA